This is a long non-coding RNA of Saccostrea cuccullata (small rock oyster), 1051 nucleotides long. RefSeq lists it as uncharacterized. NCBI's taxonomy places the organism in Eukaryota, Metazoa, Mollusca, Bivalvia, Ostreida, Ostreidae. The transcript has 3 exons. The record is from RefSeq and is a predicted model, not a curated record.
UUAUCAUUGUGACUUGUCAUGCAUUUCGUAAACCUAACGAUAGUGAUCUGUAAGUAAUUUUGGUGAAAAAUGUUUCUGACUGAAUGUAAGCACGGGCACUGGAAGUUAAUGUAAAUAUAUAGUAUGUGUAUGUAUAAAAAAGACCCUUCUUUUUUAUACAUACACAUACUAUAUUAUUUAUAUUAACUUCCAGUGCCCGUGAAUGUAAGCGGUUACAUGUUAGGCUAAAGGCAUUACUAUUUUUUAUGAUUUGUAUACAGGUAAGUAAUUUUGGAUAAAUUUGUUUCUGAAUGAACGUAAACAUUACAUGCUAGGCUAUUUUUUAAAGGCAUUAUUGGUUUUCCUUUUGUGGUUACGUACUGAUAUGAAAGUGAAAGUAGAAACCUUGAAACCAUUGUGACUGUCAGUUGGUGUUUAUGUAUGUUGAGAUGGCUGUCAAGUCGAUUUUUUCAUCAACUUAAUAACAAGUGUUUGUUUUUAUGGCCUAUAGAUGCAUGCAGUAACUUGAGUUCAGUGUCACAUUGCUGCAUCUAAAAAGCCCAAAGCUGGUAAGACUGGCGAUUGAUCCUAAAGCUGAUUUGACAGAGGAUUGCAUCUUCACAAUAUUAAAGGUUCAAUAUACAGUCAGCGUCUCAUAAGAAUAAAUCCCAAGAUCCAAGACUUGCUUAAAAGCUUAAUUAAGAGACCAUUCUGUGCCACAAAGAAAUUGUUCAGGAAAGGGAGAAAUGGUGGAUAUGCAUUUUGGGUACAGUUCAAAGAGAGUUCAAAAUGGUCAAGCUCAUGGAAGAUCAGAGGGAGGACAACUGAAGAAAACUGAAAGAUACAGAAGGAAAAAGAACAAGAAAAUAUAUGAAAUAAUUAUGAAAUUGGGAGGAUGUACACAAUCUUGUCUGCAUUUGACCUGUAAAGAUUUAAUUCCCAUUCUUAUUUGUAUGCUGUAAUAUCAAAUAACUUGAUUUUUCAUAAAUUUACAAUAGAGAAUACAUGACAAAUGUUAUAUGUGAUAUUUCAAUUUUGCUUUGGACACUUUCAUGUCAAAUCAUAUAAAUUA